ACAACUCUUUUAUCAGUAAAUGUGACUAAAAUCUUAAGGAAUUCGAAAUAAACGAAAUACUUUAUACAUAUAGUUUGUACAUAUUGUACGUAAUAAUACAUAAUCCUCUUAUGUGUAAUCGUGGCCAAUUUGAAACAUACAUAUAUGGUGGCCAGUUUUUUCUAUCGUUCCAUAAAACAUGAUGCAUCGCAGAAAACUAUUAUGUCAGAAACAGAGAAGACAUUACAGUUCGUGAUCACUCAUCGUAAAAAGUGUAUCAACUACCUCGUCUUAAGAGGCCAUGAUUCAGACAUACGUACAUACGUAAAUGCCCGAAUGCAGCUGUAACAUUCGUAAGAAGACGCGAUAGAAAAAUAGACAUUUUCUCUCGAAAAAGAUAUGUGAUGACCUUAGAAAACGGUAGAAGAUUGAUUUUUUAUUUUCACAAUAUAUUUUCAUAUGUUUCGUCAUAUCUUUCAUCUUAGAUUUAUUUUCAUGAUUCCUCCGAAACAAC
This 493-nucleotide unclassified non-coding RNA is filed under the name Bombus terrestris (buff-tailed bumblebee). Its description in RNAcentral is "misc RNA ENSBTSG00005029598.1". The record is from RNAcentral. Lineage: Eukaryota; Metazoa; Arthropoda; Insecta; Hymenoptera; Apidae.